Molecule: transfer RNA, 72 nt
Filed under: Dallia pectoralis (Alaska blackfish)
Lineage: Eukaryota; Metazoa; Chordata; Actinopteri; Esociformes; Umbridae
Description: tRNA-Thr
Rfam family: tRNA (bases 7-65)
About the family: Transfer RNA (tRNA) molecules are approximately 80 nucleotides in length. Their secondary structure includes four short double-helical elements and three loops (D, anti-codon, and T loops).
Source: RNAcentral
GUUGGUGUAGCUCAGUGGUAGAGUGCAUGCUUUGUGUGUAUGAUGUUCUGGGUUCAAAUCCCAGCUGUUCCC